AGUGAACGCUGGCGGUAGGCCUAACACAUGCAAGUCGAACGGCAGCACAGUAAGAGCUUGCUCUUACGGGUGGCGAGUGGCGGACGGGUGAGGAGUACAUCGGAAUCUACUUUUUCGUGGGGGAUAACGUAGGGAAACUUACGCUAAUACCGCAUACGACAUACGGGUGAAAGCAGGGGAUCUUCGGACCUUGCGCGAUUGAAUGAGCCGAUGUCGGAUUAGCUAGUUGGCGGGGUAAAGGCCCACCAAGGCGACGAUCCGUAGCGGGUCUGAGAGGAUGAUCAGCCACACUGGAACUGAGACACGGUCCAGACUCCUACGGGAGGCAGCAGUGGGGAAUAUUGGACAAUGGGCGCAAGCCUGAUCCAGCCAUACCGCGUGGGUGAAGAAGGCCUUCGGGUUGUAAAGCCCUUUUGUUGGGAAAGAAAAGCAGCAGGUUAAUACCCCGCUGUUCUGACGGUACCCAAAGAAUAAGCACCGGCUAACUUCGUG
Molecule: ribosomal RNA, 492 nt
Filed under: uncultured bacterium
Lineage: Bacteria
Description: partial 16S ribosomal RNA
Rfam family: Bacterial small subunit ribosomal RNA
Source: RNAcentral